UCGAAUUGCCUGAAGUUAGUAGAAAUCCCAAAGACGCAAAAUUAGUAGAGUCCCAAGAUUCCACAACACGUCCCAAAAAGCAUAUAAACUAGCGAAAACCAAGUGAGAGAUGGUUGAACUGCUUGAAGACGGUAGAAAUCCCGAAGAGCUUAGAGCAAAUCAACACAGUUUAGAAGGACAUUAAAGUUCCCAAACAUACCCC
RNAcentral lists this long non-coding RNA (202 nucleotides) under Vigna radiata. Its description in RNAcentral is "long non-coding RNA (VRAD_LNC006132)". The record is from RNAcentral. Lineage: Eukaryota; Viridiplantae; Streptophyta; Magnoliopsida; Fabales; Fabaceae.